GUCAGUGCUGAACAGUCUUUCCCUGCAGUCUGGGGUCAGUCCAGAACAGUGAGUUUCCCUACAGUCUGAGACCAGUCCCGAACAGUCUUUCUCUGCAGUCUGGGACCAGCCCAGAACAGUGAGUUCUUCUACAGGCUGAGACCAGUCCAGUGCUACUGUCAUGGCUUCACCUGAAGAGAUGUUCCAUCGCGUUCACAUUAUGUUCUAGUGGUGUGCUACUCCAUACCAGGGUCCAGAAGCUGGGAAACAGGCCAUCCUUCAUACCAGGGUCCAGAAGCUGGGAAACAGGCUGUCCUUCAUACUAGGGUCCAGAAGCUGGGAAACAG
This is a long non-coding RNA of Esox lucius (northern pike), 326 nucleotides long. NCBI's taxonomy places the organism in Eukaryota, Metazoa, Chordata, Actinopteri, Esociformes, Esocidae. The record is from Ensembl.